This 536-nucleotide ribosomal RNA is filed under the name Chromobacterium haemolyticum. RNAcentral's name for it is "bacterial SSU rRNA". It matches the Rfam family "Bacterial small subunit ribosomal RNA", at positions 254 to 781 of the family's 1533-position model. The record is from RNAcentral. Lineage: Bacteria; Pseudomonadati; Pseudomonadota; Betaproteobacteria; Neisseriales; Chromobacteriaceae.
GGGGUAAAGGCUCACCAAGGCAACGAUCAGUAGCGGGUCUGAGAGGAUGAUCCGCCACACUUGGGACUGAGACACGGCCCAGACUCCUACGGGAGGCAGCAGUGGGGAAUUUUGGACAAUGGGCGCAAGCCUGAUCCAGCCAUGCCGCGUGUCUGAAGAAGGCCUUCGGGUUGUAAAGGACUUUUGUCCGGGAGCAAAUCCCAGUGGUUAAUACCUACUGGGGCUGAGAGUACCGGAAGAAUAAGCACCGGCUAACUACGUGCCAGCAGCCGCGGUAAUACGUAGGGUGCAAGCGUUAAUCGGAAUUACUGGGCGUAAAGCGUGCGCAGGCGGUUGUGCAAGUCUGAUGUGAAAGCCCCGGGCUUAACCUGGGAACGGCAUUGGAGACUGCACGACUAGAGUGCGUCAGAGGGGGGUAGAAUUCCGCGUGUAGCAGUGAAAUGCGUAGAGAUGCGGAGGAAUACCGAUGGCGAAGGCAGCCCCCUGGGAUGACACUGACGCUCAUGCACGAAAGCGUGGGGAGCAAACAGGAUUAG